AGGAAGUUGAAGGAGAGUGUGGAGAAGCAGGGAAUCCAGCAUGGAGUUUGCUCUUGCAGUAGGACUCUGCAGAUCCUUGCAAGACAGGAUUGCAGGAGGCUUGGUUCUCAUCAGGCGUUUUGCCCACAUUUUGUUUACAAUUCUUUUCCCCUCGAAACCAUGGCUGGAUACUGAGCAGAGAUUUUCUUUGAGCUAUCAACAGUGACAAUUGGAUCUUUCUCCUGAGAAAUCACAGCUAAUUUCAAAACCAGCAGCAUGUGAGAGAGGAAUUCAAAGUUUUCUUUUUACUAUGAAUUGUAAGACUCCUUCCCCACGGAUGGUGAAGAAUUGCUUCCAUCGAGGCAGCCAUCACCAGGAGGAAAGUGACCACUGAAGGAUGCAAGUUAACUUCUUGGUCACCACUUGACUCUCUAGUUAUCAAAGGAUGAACAUGCAUAUGAAGAAAAAUAAUAUUAAUGGGUACAGGCUGAGUGGAUAAUUGCAGACAUUGGCGAAAAACGAAUAUGCAACUGAUGCAGCCGCUUGCCGCACAGCAAUUACUUCAAAGUGUUGCUUUACUUAAUUUUUUUUUUUUUGGUAAAAGAAAUACUACAUAAUUUAUAUCUGAGAAUAUCAUUAAAAUAUUAGAAUGUUCCCCAUUGUGUAGCAAGUAGAAACUUGGUUACCCAGUAUACAAACAACAAUAAUAAAUAAAAAUCACAUGCUGGGGGAAAAAUA
Long non-coding RNA from Hemicordylus capensis (graceful crag lizard), 717 nucleotides. RefSeq lists it as uncharacterized. Lineage: Eukaryota; Metazoa; Chordata; Lepidosauria; Squamata; Cordylidae. The record is from RefSeq and is a predicted model, not a curated record. The transcript is spliced from 5 exons.